CAGGCCCUGCAGACCCUGUUCUCUGCCCCACGCCUGGGAGAGCCGGGGGCUCGGACACCCCUGUUUACCCCAGAGACGGACAAACUGCGGCUGGACAGCCCUUUCCCGUUCCUGGGCUCUGGUACCACUGGCUAUUCCAAGCCCCCCAGCCUGCUGGGUCCCUACGGCCGCGCCUUCCCUGAGUACCCCUGGAACUUUAACCCAUACCUCACAGGCCCCUUCCCCAAGCUCUCCCCUUCUCUCUAUCCCCCACACUUCUACCCCAACUCCCUGGCCAGUUCCCUGGGCCACCUGCCUUCCACAGGAGCAGGGGGAGGCCCCACGGCUGCACCCCUGCUGGCUGCGACUGGGGAGGGCCUGGGUCCUGAACGCCCCUCAGGCCUGGUGGCAGCCCCUCGCCUGGCACUGCCAGGAGCAGGGGGUCCAGAGACCACGCUGGGCAGAAAGGAAGACAGUGACUCAGAAUUGGAGAUUACUGAUGUCAGCGGCUGCAGCUCUGACAGCGAGGGCGAUGAGGGCCUCCAGGUGUCUCCCAAAGCCAAGGCAGGCAAAGGGGGGACCGGCAGCUGAGCCAGCGUGGGGUGACGGAUUCUGCCGAGGUGGGGACCAGGACAGCCACCCAUGAAGCCUCUGCCAUCUGGUCUGCCCUCGAUGUCAGCCAAGGCCUAGGACCAGGCCCUGGCACCCUCCCAGAGCCCAGUCUCCCUCCCCAACCCCAGAGUGGGGGUCUCGCCUUCCCCUCCAUGGAGGGGGAGGGAAGAAAAUGGCCUCCACCCCCCCCCCCAGGCUCCAGUUUGAGGGGGGUCCCCGCCUGGCCCCACUCCCAAAGUGCAAUACGGCGCCCAGCCUCCCCUGCCCACCCCUGUGCUGUGACCUGUGUGUUUGUGUGGCCGUGUCUCCAACCCCCUGUGCCGGCCCCCAUCCUGAUACCCUCACACAGGCCCCCCUGGGGACAGGGAGCUCAGAGCAAUAACCCCGCCCCC
This 983-nucleotide long non-coding RNA is filed under the name Ictidomys tridecemlineatus (thirteen-lined ground squirrel). RNAcentral describes it as "lncRNA (ENSSTOG00000030655.1)". Lineage: Eukaryota; Metazoa; Chordata; Mammalia; Rodentia; Sciuridae. The record is from RNAcentral.